Molecule: ribosomal RNA, 497 nt
Filed under: uncultured bacterium
Lineage: Bacteria
Description: partial 16S ribosomal RNA
Rfam family: Bacterial small subunit ribosomal RNA
Source: RNAcentral
GACGAACGCUGGCGGCGUGCCUAAUACAUGCAAGUUGAGCGAUGAAGAUUGGUGCUUGCACCAAUUUGAAGAGCAGCGAGCGGGUGAGUAACGCGUGGGGAAUCUGCCUUUGAGCGGGGGACAGCAUUUGGAAACGAAUGCUAAUACCGCAUAACAACUUUAAACAUAAGUUUUAAGUUUGAAAGAUGCAAUUGCAUCACUCAAAGAUGAUCCCGCGUUGUAUUAGCUAGUUGGUGAGGUAAAGGCUCACCAAGGCGAUGAUACAUAGCCGACCUGAGAGGGUGAUCGGCCACAUUGGGACUGAGACACGGCCCAAACUCCUACGGGAGGCAGCAGUAGGGAAUCUUCGGCAAUGGACGAAAGUCUGACCGAGCAACGCCGCGUGAGUGAAGAAGGUUUUCGGAUCGUAAAACUCUGUUGGUAGAGAAGAACGUUGGUGAGAGUGGAAAGCUCAUCAAGUGACGGUAACUACCCAGAAAGGGACGGCUAACUACGUG